GAUAAGCCUCGGGGAGCUGCCAAAGAGCUUUGAUCCGGGGAUUUCUGAAUGGGGAAACCCAAUAUAAUGAGAAUUAUAUUACCCUACGGGGAGCGAACCUAGUGAAGUGAAACAUCUCAGUAGCUAGAGGAAGAGAAAUCAAACGAGAUUCCCAAAGUAGCGGCGAGCGAAAUGGGAUUAGGACAAACCCAAUGCUUGCAUUGGGGGUUGUAGGACCAUGAUAUGAGACUAAAGAGGAUAGAUGAAAUACUUGCAAAAGUGUAGCAUAGAAGGUGAAACUCCUGUAAUUAAAAUUCUCAAUAGCUCUAAUGGUAUCCUGAGAAGGUCGGAACACGUGAUAUUUUGACUGAAGCCGGGGGGACCACCCUCCAAUCCUAAAUACUACUUACAGAUCGAUAGU
Molecule: ribosomal RNA, 400 nt
Filed under: Vibrio parahaemolyticus
Lineage: Bacteria; Pseudomonadati; Pseudomonadota; Gammaproteobacteria; Vibrionales; Vibrionaceae
Description: bacterial LSU rRNA
Rfam family: Bacterial large subunit ribosomal RNA
Source: RNAcentral